GGUGACCCUGUUUCUAAGGAAGUGACCGUUGGGAAAGAGGACUGUAAUGCAAGAACUGAACGAGCACACGACAGUUGAUAAACCAGAGCAGGUCAAUGAUCUACAGAUUUGAACUGUGCAGUCUAAUGAGAUGACCGACACAACACACAGCAGAACUGCAGGAUGCUUCACCAGACGAACAGACAGUCCCUUCAAUCUCCACUCAAAACCCUCCGUGUUUUGGUCGUCCAUCUUCUCCGAACACACUCUUGUAAAGGUCAGUCCCAGUUAAUUGGUUCAUCUCAGCCAAUAGUGGCAACAGUUGGUGAUGACAUCAUUUUGCCAUGUCAUGUGGAACCUGCCAUGGAUGUUGCUGCCAUGACACUGGAGUGGACCAGAUCUGACUUGGACCCCAUAUUUGUCCAUGUGUGUCGUGCUGGUCAGGAUGUCAUACAUGUUAAACAUCCAUUCUACAGGGGACGAACAUCACUGUUCACUGAUGAGCUGAAGCAGGGAAACAUUUCACUGAAACUCUCUAAAGUGAAACUUUCUGAUGGGGGAAAAUACAAAUGUAACAUUCCAAAACUCAAUAAAUAAUCUUCUGUUGAACUUUUUGUUGGAGCUGAGCGCCCACGGGGGUGGGGUUGGUGAUUGUAGGUGGUGGUUCCUCCUUUUUCCUGUGUGCUGUGUUCAACUGAUAUCCCUGAGUUUGACCCUUCACCAUUGUGUGUGUGUGUGUGUGUGUGUGUGUGUGUGUGGAUGUGUGUGCACGUGUGAUUCGGUGUGACUCUCUUCUGGAUACCUCUCCUACCUCCCCUCUACUGGUAAGCCUCAGCCCUGAAUAAUUCCCCUAUCCCUCUUUUUAAUAUUUGUGUGGUCGGUAUGCUUAAUUAUUGUUUUUUUUACUAAAUUUUGCUAUUGUUAAAAUAAAGAAUUGAUGGUUGGAACCACGUCUCUCACUUCUUGGUGUAACGAACCUGAUUGCCUUUUUGGGUUAUUGGUACUGGUCUGAGGUGACAUUUGUCUCUGGGUAAAACCCCCAGGGUGGCAUAGUUGGAUUCUUGUGAUUACACUGGUUAGUGCCCUUCAUACCUAUUCUCUUGCC
Molecule: long non-coding RNA, 1084 nt
Organism: Thunnus maccoyii (southern bluefin tuna)
Lineage: Eukaryota; Metazoa; Chordata; Actinopteri; Scombriformes; Scombridae
Exons: 4
Source: RefSeq, a predicted model, not a curated record